CGACGUUGUGUAGUCUCCCCUGGCAAAGGAGAGUCAGGCGAGUCCACGUGAGGGAAGCCCCCGCUGUGCGCGGAGCCCUCUGCUGGGCGGAGGGGGAGUGCCAGCCCCCAGGAGCUAAUCCCCGGCUGAUGGCGCAGGGCGCGGGGCUUGGCCGUGGAGUGUGAUGAAGGAGGCGACCCCCAAGGUGGGAAGGAGCACGGGUUGGGGUUUGAGGGUGGAUGAUUGGUGACGGAGGGUGUAUCUUCAGGAGGAGGUUCGAGUGAAGAUCAAAGACUUGAAUGAACACAUUGUUUGCUGCCUAUGCGCCGGCUACUUCGUGGAUGCCACCACCAUCACAGAGUGUCUUCAUACUUUCUGCAAGAGUUGUAUUGUGAAGUACCUCCAAACUAGCAAGUAUUGCCCCAUGUGCAACAUUAAGAUCCACGAGACACAGCCACUGCUCAACCUCAAACUGGACCGGGUCAUGCAGGACAUCGUGUAUAAGCUGGUGCCUGGCUUGCAAGACAGUGAGUCACCAACCUGACUUUGAGGGGCCUCUUGAGGACUAAUUGCUGAGUGGCAGCUUGAGGUGACAGGGGUUUGGUAGGACUCACGUAGGCAGAAGGCCAAAGAUGAGGGAAGGACAAAAAGUGAGGAAGGGCUAUAAUACUUUAUUCUCCUUUUUUUUCUUUUUUUGAGACGGAGUCUUGCCCAGGCUGGAGUGCAGUGGCGCAAUCUCAGCUCAUUGCAAGCUCCACCUCCCGGAUUCACGCCAUUCUCCUGCCUCAGCCUCCUGAGUAUCUGGGACUACAGGCGCCCACCACCACGCCCAGCUAAUUUUUUGUAUUUUUUAGUAGAGAUGGGG
This 844-nucleotide small RNA is filed under the name Pongo abelii (Sumatran orangutan). RNAcentral describes it as "retained intron". Lineage: Eukaryota; Metazoa; Chordata; Mammalia; Primates; Hominidae. The record is from RNAcentral.